UUCCGGUUGAUCCUGCCGGACCUGACUGCUAUCGGAUUGGUACUAAGCCAUGUGAGUCGUUGCAGCAAUGCAAGGCAGACGGCUCAGUAACACGUAGUCAACCUAACCUAUGGACGGGGAUAACCUCGGGAAACUGAGAAUAAUACCCGAUAGAUCAUGAUACCUGGAACGGUUUAUGGUUCAAAUGAUUUAUCGCCAUAGGAUGGGACUGCGGUCUAUCAGCUUGUUGGUGAGGUAAUGGCCCACCAAGGCUAUAACAGGUACGGGCUCUGAGAGGAGAAGCCCGGAGAUGGGUACUGAGACACGGACCCAGGCCCUAUGGGGCGCAGCAGGCGAGAAACCUUAGCAAUGUGCGAAAGCACGACUAGGUUAAUCCGAGUGAUUUCUGCUGAAGAAAUCUUUUGUCAGUUCUAAAAAUACCGAUGAAUAAGGGGUGGGCAAGUCUGGUGUCAGCCGCCGCGGUAAAACCAGCACCUCAAGUGGUCAGGAGGAUUAUUGGGCCUAAAGCAUCCGUAGCCGGCUCUGCAAGUUUUCGGUUAAAUCCACUUGCUCAACAAAUGGGCUGCCGGAGAUACUACAAAGCUAGGGAGCGGGAGAGGUAGACGGUAUUCGGUAGGAAGGGGUAAAAUCCUUUGAUCUAUUGAGGACCACCGAUGGCGAAGGCAUCCCACCAGAACGGGUCCGACGGUGAGGGACGAAAGCUGGGGGAGCAAACCGGAUUAGAUACCCGGGUAGUCCCAGCUGUAAACGAUGCAGACUCGGUGAUGCACUGGCUUGUGGCCAGUGCAGUGCCGCAGGGAAGCCGUUAAGUUUGCCGCCUGGGAAGUACGUACGCAAGUAUGAAACUUAAAGGAAUUGGCGGGGGAGCACCACAAGGGGUGAAGCCUGCGGUUCAAUUGGAUUCAACGCCGGA
RNAcentral lists this ribosomal RNA (913 nucleotides) under uncultured archaeon. RNAcentral describes it as "bacterial SSU rRNA". It matches the Rfam family "Archaeal small subunit ribosomal RNA", at positions 1 to 922 of the family's 1478-position model. The record is from RNAcentral.